GAUGAACGCUGGCGGCGUGCCUAAUACAUGCAAGUCGAGCGAACAGACGAGGAGCUUGCUCCUCUGACGUUAGCGGCGGACGGGUGAGUAACACGUGGAUAACCUACCUAUAAGACUGGGAUAACUUCAGGAAACCGGAGCUAAUACCGGAUAAUAUAUUGAACCGCAUGGUUCAAUAGUGAAAGACGGUUUUGCUGUCACUUAUAGAUGGAUCCGCGCCGCAUUAGCUAGUUGGUAAGGUAACGGCUUACCAAGGCAACGAUGCGUAGCCGACCUGAGAGGGUGAUCGGCCACACUGGAACUGAGACACGGUCCAGACUCCUACGGGAGGCAGCAGUGGGGAAUCUUCCGCAAUGGGCGAAAGCCUGACGGAGCAACGCCGCGUGAGUGAUGAAGGUCUUCGGAUCGUAAAACUCUGUUAUUAGGGAAGAACAAAUGUGUAAGUAACUAUGCACGUCUUGACGGUACCUAAUCAGAAAGCCACGGCUAACUACGUG
RNAcentral lists this ribosomal RNA (497 nucleotides) under uncultured bacterium. Its description in RNAcentral is "partial 16S ribosomal RNA". It matches the Rfam family "Bacterial small subunit ribosomal RNA", at positions 28 to 507 of the family's 1533-position model. The record is from RNAcentral.